This 429-nucleotide ribosomal RNA is filed under the name bacterium. RNAcentral describes it as "partial 16S ribosomal RNA". It matches the Rfam family "Bacterial small subunit ribosomal RNA", at positions 355 to 776 of the family's 1533-position model. The record is from RNAcentral.
UGGGGAAUUUUGGACAAUGGGCGAAAGCCUGAUCCAGCAAUGCCGCGUGUGUGAAGAAGGCCUUCGGGUUGUAAAGCACUUUUGUCCGGAAAGAAAUGGUUCUGGUUAAUACCUGGGGUCGAUGACGGUACCGGAAGAAUAAGGACCGGCUAACUACGUGCCAGCAGCCGCGGUAAUACGUAGGGUCCAAGCGUUAAUCGGAAUUACUGGGCGUAAAGCGUGCGCAGGCGGUUGUGCAAGACCGAUGUGAAAUCCCCGAGCUUAACUUGGGAAUUGCAUUGGUGACUGCACGGCUAGAGUGUGUCAGAGGGGGGUAGAAUUCCACGUGUAGCAGUGAAAUGCGUAGAGAUGUGGAGGAAUACCGAUGGCGAAGGCAGCCCCCUGGGAUAACACUGACGCUCAUGCACGAAAGCGUGGGGAGCAAACAGG